Numida meleagris (helmeted guineafowl) is the source of this 836-nucleotide long non-coding RNA. RefSeq lists it as uncharacterized. The record is from RefSeq and is a predicted model, not a curated record. Lineage: Eukaryota; Metazoa; Chordata; Aves; Galliformes; Numididae. The transcript has 3 exons.
CAGAAAAGAAGGGAUUGUCCUCUUCUGAACCACUGCAGUCGGGAUCACCCCAGCUAGCCCUGCAGCUGUGGGACCCGAUGGUGUGACAAAGCAAGGCCUCUGGUCUGCCGAACACUGGGACCAGCACAGAGAGGCCCUGAGACCAUUGUGGAUCAUACCGACAGCUGCAGUCAGUGAGUUUCCCCGAGCUGAUCAGCACGUGGAAUUCCCUGCCUGCCCCAACUGUGCCCUGAUCUCCAAACUCCUUUGCAUCAUCGUGUCUCACAGCCCCAGGCGUCUCGCUGCGGUGCUGCUGGUGGCAGUGGGGAACUGCGGUGCUCCCGGGCAGUGCCAGAACUGCAUGGAGAUCUGUGGCUCUUCAUGAAGUCAGCAAGAAAUGGAAAGCUGGAUUUCCUAGAAUGCCCUGGGACCUGACUUUGCUGACUGGUAACUCACUGCCCAUACAGGUAAGGGCAAUGUACACGGACCAGUGUUUACCCAUUCCAUAGCGUGGCUCCACCUAAUGCUGCCAGAGCUCAUUACUGUGCUUUAGGGUUCCCUACAGGAUGCUGGUCCUCUUCCUCCUGCUUUCUCCUUGCCUCUGGCCUGUCUCAUCUAAUCCAGACAAGUCACCAUAAGAGUGCAACUCAGAGUGCAGUACAACUCAGAACCCAUUGAGACCCUGCACUUGUGGACCCUACACCUACACUGUAGUGUUGCUGCUCCCACCCCUCUCCCUCCCGUCUCCUGGGCACCAUUUCUAAGCUAGCUCUGCAGCUCUGGAACUUGAUGCUUUGAAGAAGGAAGGACCUCAGACUCAACUUAGUUGACUGGCUGCCCUGAUAGGUAAGGGCAAU